This 253-nucleotide ribosomal RNA is filed under the name uncultured bacterium. Its description in RNAcentral is "partial 16S ribosomal RNA". It matches the Rfam family "Bacterial small subunit ribosomal RNA", at positions 524 to 776 of the family's 1533-position model. RNAcentral also lists the same sequence under 2 other names. The record is from RNAcentral.
UACGGGGGGUGCAAACGUUGCUCGGAAUUAUUGGGCGUAAAGCGCACGUAGGCGGUCCUGUAAGUCGGGUGUGAAAGCCCCAGGCUUAACCUGGGAAGUGCACUCGAAACUGUAGGGCUUGAGUAUGGAAGAGGGUCUCGGAAUUCCCGGUGUAGAGGUGAAAUUCGUAGAUAUCGGGAGGAACACCAGUGGCGAAGGCGGAGACCUGGGCCAAUACUGACGCUGAGGUGCGAAAGCGUGGGGAGCAAACAGG